CACCAGACUCCUACGGGAGGCAGCAGUGGGGGAUAUUGCACAAUGGGGGGAACCCUGAUGCAGCGACGCCGCGUGGGUGAAGAAGUAUUUCGGUAUGUAAAGCCCUAUCGGCAGGGAAGAAAUUGGACGGUACCUGACUAAGAAGCCCCGGCUAACUACGUGCCAGCAGCCGCGGUAAUACGUAGGGGGCAAGCGUUAUCCGGAUUCACUGGGUGUAAAGGGAGCGUAGACGGCCAUGCAAGCCUGGAGUGAAAGCCCGGGGCCCAACCCCGGGACUGCUCUGGGAACUGUGCGGCUGGAGUGCGGGAGGGGCAGGCGGAAUUCCUGGUGUAGCGGUGAAAUGCGUAGAUAUCAGGAGGAACACCGGCGGCGAAGGCGGCCUGCUGGACCGCGACUGACGUUGAGGCUCGAAAGCGUGGGGAGCAAACAGGAUUAGAUACCCCAGUAA
This 448-nucleotide ribosomal RNA is filed under the name uncultured bacterium. Its description in RNAcentral is "bacterial SSU rRNA". It matches the Rfam family "Bacterial small subunit ribosomal RNA", at positions 329 to 793 of the family's 1533-position model. The record is from RNAcentral.